GAUGAACGCUAGCGGGAGGCCUAACACAUGCAAGCCGAGCGGUAUUGUUUCUUCGGCAAUGAGAGAGCGGCGUACGGGUGCGUAACACGUGUGCAACCUGCCUUUAUCUGGGGGAUAGCCUUUCGAAAGGAAGAUUAAUACUCCAUAAUAUAUUGAACGGCAUCGUUUAAUAUUGAAAGCUCCGGCGGAUAGAGAUGGGCACGCGCAAGAUUAGCUAGUUGGUGAGGUAACGGCUCACCAAGGCGAUGAUCUUUAGGGGGCCUGAGAGGGUGAUCCCCCACACUGGUACUGAGACACGGACCAGACUCCUACGGGAGGCAGCAGUGAGGAAUAUUGGUCAAUGGGUGCAAGCCUGAACCAGCCAUCCCGUGUGAAGGACGACUGCCCUAUGGGUUGUAAACUUCUUUUGUAUAGGGAUAAACCUACCCUCGAGAGGGUAGCUGAAGGUACUAUACGAAUAAGCACCGGCUAACUCCGUG
This 479-nucleotide ribosomal RNA is filed under the name uncultured bacterium. RNAcentral describes it as "partial 16S ribosomal RNA". It matches the Rfam family "Bacterial small subunit ribosomal RNA", at positions 28 to 507 of the family's 1533-position model. The record is from RNAcentral.